AUAAAACAGAAUUAUAUUGAAAAUUAAAGAAGAUCUUGUUGAAGAUGUGGUUAAUAAUUUAUAAGAUUUUGGAUGAAAGCAAUUCAAGACUUUAUUAUUAAACUUUUUUACAACCGAUUAAAUUCGUCCAUGAUGGUUACUAAAGAAUCCAUGGUUUCUUCACCACUUGGAAUGAUUUGAUCAGCCGGAAGGAGGAAUCCGUGUCUUCCAGUGUCUCGUAAUUCAUAAGUAAUAAGGAGGAUGCUACUCUUUCUGAUGAUACCAUUGCUGUUUGGCUUGAUUUUAAGAUAAAUGGGUUGAUUUAAAAUUCAAAUAUGACUUAAUUGUAAAGAAUAAGGAUUAUGCUACUCUUUCUGAUGAUACCAUCGCUGUUUGGCUUGAUUUUGAGACAAAUGGGUUGAUUUAAAACUCAAAUAUCAGUUUAUUGUUAAGAAUAAGGAUUAUGCUACUCUUUCUGAUGAUACCAUCGCUGUUUGGCUUGAUUUUGAGACAAAUGGGUUGAUUUAAACUCAAAUGUGAGUUUAUUGUUAAGUGGCAUCAAGGGGCAAUUUUCACCGCUUAUAAGGAAUGAGAAGAUUCAAGACAACUCAAAAAUGGUGAUCAUAUCUCAAUUUAAAACAUUUAAAGGCAAUUAAAAAUAAAUAAUAGAAGAUAAUAAACAAUAUAAGCUGUCUUAAAUCCACUAAAAGUGAUUGAAUGUGAGAUUCUUAACCCUUCAUCAAUCAUAAAAUUUAUUUUUGCAUACAUAUUUCUUACAAGUUACUUUGUUAUAUUUUUAAAGAAUUGUUAUAAUUAAUAAAGAAACGCAAAAAUAUAAAUUUAAA
This 824-nucleotide long non-coding RNA is filed under the name Onthophagus taurus. RNAcentral describes it as "uncharacterized LOC111428908, transcript variant X3". The record is from RNAcentral. Lineage: Eukaryota; Metazoa; Arthropoda; Insecta; Coleoptera; Scarabaeidae.